RNAcentral lists this ribosomal RNA (397 nucleotides) under uncultured bacterium. RNAcentral's name for it is "partial 16S ribosomal RNA". It matches the Rfam family "Bacterial small subunit ribosomal RNA", at positions 523 to 918 of the family's 1533-position model. The record is from RNAcentral.
AUACGUAGGUGGCAAGCGUUGUCCGGAAUUGUUGGGCGUAAAGCGCGCGCAGGUGGUUCCUUAAGUCUGAUGUGAAAGCCCCCGGCUCAACCGGGGAGGGUCAUUGGAAACUGGGGAACUUGAGUGCAGCAGAGGAUAGUGGAAUUCCAAGUGUAGCGGUGAAAUGCGUAGAGAUUUGGAGGAACACCAGUGGCGAAGGCGGCUGUCUGGUCUGUAACUGACUCUGAGGCGCGAAAGCGUGGGGAUCAAACAGAAUUAUAUACCCUGGUAGUCCACGCCGUAAACGAUGAGUGCUAAGUGUUGGGGGGUUUCCGCCCCUCAGUGCUGCAGCUAACGCAUUAAGCACUCCGCCUGGGGAGUACGGUCGCAAGACUGAAACUCAAAGGAAUUGACGGGG